GUCCAGACUCCUACGGGAGGCAGCAGUGGGGAAUAUUGCACAAUGGGGGAAACCCUGAUGCAGCGACGCCGCGUGAGUGAAGAAGUAUCUCGGUACGUAAAGCUCUAUCAGCAGGGAAGAAAAUGACGGUACCUGACUAAGAAGCCCCGGCUAACUACGUGCCAGCAGCCGCGGUAAUACGUAGGGGGCAAGCGUUAUCCGGAUUUACUGGGUGUAAAGGGAGCGUAGACGGCAGCGCAAGUCUGGAGUGAAAUGCCGGGGCCCAACCCCGGUACUGCAUUGGAAACUACCGGACUGGAGUGUCGGAGGGGUAAGUGGAAUUCCUAGUGUAGCGGUGAAAUGCGUAGAUAUUAGGAGGAACACCAGUGGCGAAGGCGGCUUACUGGACGAUCACUGACGCUGAGGCUCGAAAGCGUGGGGAGCAAACAGGAUUAGAUACCCCGGUA
Molecule: ribosomal RNA, 446 nt
Filed under: uncultured bacterium
Lineage: Bacteria
Description: bacterial SSU rRNA
Rfam family: Bacterial small subunit ribosomal RNA
Source: RNAcentral